UACGGAGGGGGCUAGCGUUGUUCGGAAUUAUUGGGCGUAAAGCGCGCGCAGGCGGUUUCUUAAGUCUGAUGUGAAAGCCCACGGCUCAACCGUGGAGGGUCAUUGGAAACUGGGAAACUUGAGUGCAGAAGAGAAGAGUGGAAUUCCACGUGUAGCGGUGAAAUGCGUAGAGAUGUGGAGGAACACCAGUGGCGAAGGCGACUCUUUGGUCUGUAACUGACGCUGAGGCGCGAAAGCGUGGGGAGCAAACAGG
Molecule: ribosomal RNA, 253 nt
Filed under: uncultured bacterium
Lineage: Bacteria
Description: partial 16S ribosomal RNA
Rfam family: Bacterial small subunit ribosomal RNA
Source: RNAcentral